UAGUCCACGCCGUAAACGAUGUCUACUAGCCGUUGGGAGACUUGAUUUCUUAGUGGCGCAGCUAACGCAAUAAGUAGACCGCCUGGGGAGUACGGCCGCAAGGUUAAAACUCAAAUGAAUGGACGGGGGCCCGCACAAGCGGUGGAGCAUGUGGUUUAAUUCGAUGCAACGCGAAGAACCUUACCAGGUCUUGACAUCCAGAGAACUUUCCAGAGAUGGAUUGGUGCCUUCGGGAGCUCUGUGACAGGUGCUGCAUGGCCGUCGUCAGCUCGUGUCGUGAGAUGUUGGGUUAAGUCCCGUAACGAGCGCAACCCUUGUCCUUAGUUGCCAGCGCGUAAUGGCGGGAACUCUAAGGAGACUGCCGGUGACAAACCGGAGGAAGGUGGGGACGACGUCAAGUCAUCAUGGCCUUUACGACCUGGGCUACACACGUGCUACAAUGGUCGGUACAGAGGGUUGCCAAGCCGCGAGGUGGAGCUAAUCCCAGAAAACCGAUCGUGGUCCGGA
Molecule: ribosomal RNA, 507 nt
Filed under: uncultured bacterium
Lineage: Bacteria
Description: bacterial SSU rRNA
Rfam family: Bacterial small subunit ribosomal RNA
Source: RNAcentral